ACAAAUUCUUUGUUGUCUGGGAUAGUGAUGUCAUUGAGACAGUGGAACUUUGGUUACCACACACAAUCAUAGUAAAAGUCACACACAGCUAGGGUUGUCACCAUAACUGGUGUAGCGGUAAACCCUGGUAAAAAAAGUUCACAAUAAUAAUAACCGUUUUGUUUUUCAAAAAAUAUAUUAUCUCGGUUGAUUACCGUGGCUGCGGUGACCCUGUUUUGUUUUAAAAGCAUUUUUAUUUUUUGACUAUGAUAUGUUUUGUUGGUCUCUGUGAAGAACUUUGUGAUUCGCUUUCUGUGAGUGCCAUAUAAAUAGAAUUUACUUAGCUAAAUAAAAUAUAGAAUUGAAGUCAGUUUUAGUUUGUUCUUUAUUGUAAGUAGUUAACUAAAGAAUAGCAUAAAAUGGCCACGGCUAGACUUAAAAUAAAAAUUUCUAUUAAUUAUUUUUUUUAGAAUUUUACUUAUCACUAUUGAUCAAAAUGAUAUGUUUUUUUAUUGAUAUGCUUUUUUCUAUAUCGUGCAGCCCUAAAACUGAGUAAUUUUAUCAAAUAAAUGUCCAAAGGAAAUACUUGGUCUUAUUUACAUAACUGUGUUCUCUUAAAGGAGCAUGGGGCAGGAAUUGUCCAAAAACAAAAAGUACAUGUUCAUUCUUGUGAAGCUUAUGGGUGAUGAAGCAUUUUAAACUAAAAAGAAUGAUGAAACCAGUUUAUCAUUCCAUUUUGUUAAUCAUGCUGUGUGCUGCAAAAUGCAACACAUUCCUGAUCCGAAUUUCCCACGCUGUUUUACGGAUAUGACGUUAAUUGACGCUUCAAGCGCGUUCUCGACAAGGUUCAAACUCGGAAAAACACUUGCUAGGUGGCGGUAAUGCGUCUUUCACUACUAGCCACGUUAAAACCUCAAACAGAAGAGGAAGAACCCUGGAAAUGGAUUCUACAACUAGCAAACGACCAAGCGCAACCCAAAGCCCACUAAAGAGUGGCACAAAGAAGAAGGUUUUAUCAGCGGCAUCUCGAGAGUCAAAAAGAAAAUAUGAUAAAAGUCGGUCAGGGACCCGAAUAUCUAUUGGUUACGCUCUGGAAGAAUGGAGGCUGCUUCAACUGGAUUUGGUGCCUGAAAAAGGAUGCGGACAUGGCACAUUUUCUAGUGACCAGGUAAGUGUUGGUCUCCUUAUUUCUGCUGUAGGUUUCAGUAACGAGUAGGUAAACAUAUCAGAGCUGUAUCUGCACAAUUUGAGAAAAUAAAAUAAAACUUAUGGAUUUAGAUAAUGCUGAUUUAGGUAAUCUAACAAAUCUUUGUGCAGAUGAACAAGAAACUUAUCUAAGCUAACGGUGUUUAGCAUAUGGCUUCCUGAUCAGUUUAAAAAAGCUAAAAGCAACGAAGGUGUAAUCAGAUCACUUCUACGUUUUGUGGACGACACGCCGCAUGUGUUUGGAGAUAAAUGGAUGCUACGUUUAUUCUGACGAGAAAAGUAAACAGAGCUUGAUUUGAUUAUACCGCUCAGCCGGAGAGUGCUAGCGUGCGUUAGCAUGUUAGCUGCGAUCACGUUUCAGUUUGUAUGUACCACAGAAGAGAAUGGACAUUUUCCAAACCAAAGAUGAGUCUUUAGAAUUAUGUCAUAUUUGAUCUACAGUCCAACCUCUAAGCAGGACUGUUACUUCAGUAGAUAAUGUUAUUCGUGGGGUUUGUGUAACAGAACCCCAUCAGAAUAUAUUUUCCUAGCGCUAUUGCUGUGCUACAUAACAAUAAAUAAUAAGUCAGCCAUAACAACACGUUUGACUAAAAGUAAAGUUGUGCAGAAGUUUGUGUUUAUUUUUCUAAAUUUGUCCAGUUGAAUGUAGGUCAGAAUAAAAUAUGUUUGUGAAAAUGAUAAAUAAAUUUUUUUAUGACUGACAUGCAUUUUCAUAUUACUAGUUGUGCCACAGGUAAAGAAGCUUAGCCAUUAUUGAUCUAUGUAAACAGAAGGUGUAGAGUCUCAACCAACUUGUUGACAUUUUUGCGUAAAAAUGUGUUUUCCAGCUACCGGAAGAAGCAGGCUCCUGAAACUGCAAUUCAUGGAGGUAAUGUGCAGUCAACCUCAACACCCAGUAAGCGAACAGCAGCUAAAAUGUCGCAUCGAUUAUCUCCAACUGAACCUGUGUCUGAGGGGGAAGAUUUUCUAAUGGCUGGUGUUGAGGCCUUAGCUGAUGACCUAGAUUUGGAUCCUUUUGAAGAAAGUUUCAAAUCCAUGGAUCUAGCUACGGAUGCAGUCUAAAUUGAUGAGGACCAAGCAAACAACUUACUCAACAGUGUGCUGGGAUCCUAAAGGGAAUUUCCAUCCUACUUGUGUGGCUGAAUGACAUCUUCAACCAAUUUUGGUACAUUUGCCAGAAAGCACAACAUCGUGAUAUGUUUAAUGACAUGUGGGUGGGUGUGCUUCACCAUGUCACAGGGAAGCAUGAAUGGACCCGUGGCAAAUGUGACCAUGGACCACUUGAUGCAACGUGGCAUGGUGCCAGGAUCUCCACCACACGAGGCUCUUCAACGAAUCAUGUUCAACAGACGCUGGUUGAAGGAUGUCACCAAUCUGACCUUUAGGUAUAUUAAUAACAUUUUCAUAAGCAAAAAAGCUAAAGUGUCAAUAUCAAAGCUGAAAAUUUACAUAUAGAAAUGACAAUUGUGGGUGAAAAGGCAAUCAAAAGUGUGAUUCCUGAUAAUCUAUAAAGUU
This is a non-coding RNA of Nothobranchius furzeri (turquoise killifish), 2700 nucleotides long. NCBI's taxonomy places the organism in Eukaryota, Metazoa, Chordata, Actinopteri, Cyprinodontiformes, Nothobranchiidae. The record is from RefSeq and is a predicted model, not a curated record.